GGUGACAGGAAAUCGGGUUUGCCCAUUUUAGCCCGUUGAAACUCUUACGAUUUAAAAUAUUUGAAGAAAACGACGACACGAAUUAGCCAAAGGACACGAAAAGUAAACACUUCCGGUUCUCCUACGACGGUUACGCUGUUCCACGCUCCAACACAUAAACGAUCGUGGAGAAAACAACACGAAGAAGAAAACUUGUACUCCGGGAGAAGUUUUCCACGUUUUUGGAGUGAAUAUUUUGAAAAGACAUCUACUGGCGUCCUCAAUGAAAGACUUGUGGCUCUUCGAACUACUGUACCUGCACGUUCAACAGAUGCCUUCGCGUACAGAUAAGUUUUGUCUCCCCAGCGAGGAUGGCGGCACCUGAAAAACACGACAUGGUUCGCAGUCAACGUCUAAAUUCAGCCCCACGAGCCCGGUUGAAAAUCAAGAGAGGUGCUUCGCAGCAGACCCAGCAAAGUCCCAAAAGGCCCCCCCCCCACCAAAUAUUACAGCGAGUCAGCCAUUUUGUUGAAGAUUUGAACCUGCAAUCAGAAAUAAAUGAACGGUAAACACAUAUGGAACGACUUUAUUCAGUUGAAUAAAGGAUAUGCUGUACAGCCAA
Syngnathoides biaculeatus (alligator pipefish) is the source of this 601-nucleotide long non-coding RNA. RefSeq lists it as uncharacterized. The record is from RefSeq and is a predicted model, not a curated record. NCBI's taxonomy places the organism in Eukaryota, Metazoa, Chordata, Actinopteri, Syngnathiformes, Syngnathidae. The transcript is spliced from 4 exons.